GUGCCCCUUUUAAGGCUGACUCAUUGCUUUAAGAAGCUAACACAAAAGGAUAAAGUAAGUCUCCAUAAAACCCAGAGAGGAAAUUGUAAAAACUCCUCCUUGGAUCCUGUUUGGAGUCAAAGCU
This is a small nucleolar RNA of Suncus etruscus (white-toothed pygmy shrew), 124 nucleotides long. RefSeq annotates it as small nucleolar RNA SNORA26. Lineage: Eukaryota; Metazoa; Chordata; Mammalia; Eulipotyphla; Soricidae. The record is from RefSeq and is a predicted model, not a curated record. The transcript has a single exon.